RNAcentral lists this ribosomal RNA (543 nucleotides) under uncultured bacterium. RNAcentral's name for it is "bacterial SSU rRNA". It matches the Rfam family "Bacterial small subunit ribosomal RNA", at positions 567 to 1116 of the family's 1533-position model. The record is from RNAcentral.
CUGCGCAGCCGUCGCUAAGACGAUGUGAAAUCCCGAGCCUACUGGGAACUGCAUGGUGACUGCGAGCUAGAGUGUGCAGAGGGGGGUAGAAUUCACGUGUAGCAGUGAAAUGCGUAGAGAUGUGGAAGGAAUACCGAUGGCGAAGGCAGCCCCCUGGACUAACACUGACGCUCAUGCACGAAAGCGUGAGGAAGCAAACAGGAUUAGAUACCCUGGUAGUCCACGCCCUAAACGAUGUCAACUAGUUGUUGGGGAUUCAUUUCCUUAGUAACGUAGCUAACGCGUGAAGUUGACCGCCUGGGGAGUACGGUCACAAGAUUAAAACUCAAAGGAAUUGACGGGGACCCGCACAAGCGGUGGAUGAUGUGGAUUAAUUCGAUGCAACGCGAAAAACCUUACCUACCCUUGACAUGGACGGAAUCUCGCUGAGAGGUGAGAGUGCUCGAAAGAGAACCGUCGCACAGGUGCUGCAUGGCUGUCGUCAGCUCGUGUCGUGAGAUGUUGGGUUAAGUCCCGCAACGAGCGCAACCCUUGUCUCUAGUU